RNAcentral lists this long non-coding RNA (254 nucleotides) under Mytilus galloprovincialis (Mediterranean mussel). Lineage: Eukaryota; Metazoa; Mollusca; Bivalvia; Mytilida; Mytilidae. The record is from RNAcentral.
GGUCAAGUGUCAAGACACCCAACAGUGGUCAUUGAAAAGGCAGAUUUAAAGCAGGUGUGCCAUAUUGUCAAAAAUAUCUGAAAGUUUUAAUCUUUUUCACCCAUUGAAUGUCCAUGGAUUUUAAUAUGUACAGGUCUUAUACAUGUAUCACCUGAGUGUAAGAUUUAGUACUAGACAAAGUCAAUAAAGCUGAUAGUGUAACAACUUAAACAAGUCAACACAAUAAAAUAUAUUAUGACAGGAUCAAAGGGCCA